GUGCGCCCAUAGCAACAGCAGAGCGGAGCAGCGAGGAAGAGGACGCGCGCGCAUGGUAAGGUCCCGGUCGCAAAUCUUCAUUUCGUCUGCGACCCGCGCGGGACGCCGACGGUGACGUCACUCACAGCCGCCGCCAGGGAGAAGGAGCAAGGCACGGGCCGGGAGGAGGAUGAGGAUCUGCUGACAAUGUGAGGAGCCUAUGAUGUCCGGGCAUCAGACUCUGCAGAGAAGAUGGAGCUGGAAGAAGUCCUGGCGUCUGGACCAGAUAAAGAAGGAAAGGAAAGACAGCAGAGAAGACAUCACUCAGGUCACUGAUAUAAUUGUGUGUUCUCCUGACUGUCCCAUCAGCUCUGGAGUCACUUGUAAGUUCCGUAGUGAUGAUGGGUGACAAU
Molecule: long non-coding RNA, 392 nt
Organism: Hyla sarda
Lineage: Eukaryota; Metazoa; Chordata; Amphibia; Anura; Hylidae
Exons: 3
Source: RefSeq, a predicted model, not a curated record